ACACUGACGUCGCGACGCAUAUCAAUAAGCGGAGGAAAAGAAACUAACAAGGAUUCCCUUAGUAACGGCGAGUGAAGCGGGAAGAGCUCAAAUUUGAAAUCUUCAAGGUUCUACCUUGACGAAUUGUAGUUUAAAGAAGUGUUUUCUGUUAGUGGAGUGGCAAAAGUUCUUUGGAAUAGGACAUCAUAGAGGGUGAGAAUCCCGUAUUCGGUCAUUCCUUCUAGCUUUGUGAUACACUUUCAAAGAGUCGGAUUGUUUGGGAACGCAGUCCAAAAUGGGUGGUAAAUUUCAUCUAAAGCUAAAUAUUGGCGAGAGACCGAUAGCGAACAAGUACCGUGAGGGAAAGAUGAAAAGAACUUUGAAAAGAGAGUUAAACAGUACGUGAAAUUGUCAAAAGGGAAGCGUUUGACACCAGUGUUGUUUUUCCGAAAAUCAAUUAUAAAUGUUUUGUUUCUGAGGAGUGAUGACUUCAUCGGCUUCCUUCUCUCUUCACGAAACUUUUGUAAUGCACUUUUCGGUUAACAAGUCAACAUCAAUUUCUUUUGUUGUAAAAGAGUAUUCGGAAGGUGGCUUUCUUUUCGGAGAAAGUGUUUAUAGCCCUAUACUUCUACAAUCGGAGAGAUUGAGGUCUGCAGCGUAGAUCCUUCGGGGUUAGAUACACUUGUGCUAAGUUGUAGCUUUUCAUAGACAACUUGUUGACUAUGUUAGUCAUUGUAGGCUUACUCGCUUGUGCUAUUUUACCUACGCUUAGGAUGUUGAGUCGUAGAGCACGCAG
This 775-nucleotide ribosomal RNA is filed under the name uncultured Neocallimastigales. Its description in RNAcentral is "partial large subunit ribosomal RNA". It matches the Rfam family "Eukaryotic large subunit ribosomal RNA", at positions 25 to 634 of the family's 3401-position model. The record is from RNAcentral. Lineage: Eukaryota; Fungi; Neocallimastigomycota; Neocallimastigomycetes; Neocallimastigales.